This 407-nucleotide ribosomal RNA is filed under the name uncultured bacterium. RNAcentral's name for it is "partial 16S ribosomal RNA". It matches the Rfam family "Bacterial small subunit ribosomal RNA", at positions 28 to 526 of the family's 1533-position model. The record is from RNAcentral.
GACGAACGCUGGCGGCGUGCCUAAUACAUGCAAGUAGGACGCAGUUGCGAACGGGUGAGUAACGCGUAGGUAACUGCCUAUUAGAGGGGGAUAACUAUUGGAAACGAUAGAUAAUACCGCAUACUAGUAGAUGGACCUGCGUUGUAUUAGCUAGUAGGUAGGGUAAUGGCCUACCUAGGCGGCGAGACAGAGCCGACCUGGGAGGGUGGUCCGCCCCCCUGGGACUGAGACACGGCUCCGGCCCCCUCGGGAGGGAGGAGUAGGGGAUCUUCGGCAAUGGGGCGAAACCUGGCCGAGCAACGGCGCGUUGUUGAAGAAGGUUUUCGGGUCGUAAAGCUCUGUUGUUCGCGAAGCGGUACUUACCCAGAAAGCGCCGGCUAACUCCGUGCCAGCAGCCGCGGUAAUAC